CGUGGAGGCCGGGUGCAGCCCCGUCGGCUCCGCGCUCCCGGCAGAAAGGGCUUUUCUACGCCCCCCGCCCAUCACUUGGAUCUGGUCUGGUAUUCCUCGGGGGUCCCUGGGCCGGCCGUGGCAGCUGAGUUUCUCCAGCAACUAAAAGAAGAAAGAUGUCCCCCCCGCCCCCGCCCCAAACCCUCCUUUCUGGUCCCUGGGAGUGCUCCCCUCAUGGCGCUCAGAACUGGUUGGUGAUCACCACGGAAAAUAAAAAAGAUGCCAUCUGCAGAUGGUUGCUAAACACG
Long non-coding RNA from Odocoileus virginianus texanus, 287 nucleotides. RefSeq lists it as uncharacterized. The record is from RefSeq and is a predicted model, not a curated record. NCBI's taxonomy places the organism in Eukaryota, Metazoa, Chordata, Mammalia, Artiodactyla, Cervidae.